RNAcentral lists this ribosomal RNA (301 nucleotides) under uncultured bacterium. RNAcentral describes it as "partial 16S ribosomal RNA". It matches the Rfam family "Bacterial small subunit ribosomal RNA", at positions 509 to 807 of the family's 1533-position model. The record is from RNAcentral.
CAGUAGCCACGGUAAUACGAAGGGUGCAAGCGUUACUCGGAAUUACUGGGCGUAAAGCGCGCGUAGGUGGUGGUUUAAGUCCGUUGUGAAAGCCCUGGGCUCAACCUGGGAAUUGCAGUGGAUACUGGGUCACUAGAGUGUGGUAGAGGAUAGUGGAAUUUCCGGUGUAGCAGUGAAAUGCGUAGAGAUCUGAAGGAACAUCUGUGGCGAAGGCGACUAUCUGGGCCAACACUGACACUGAGGCACGAAAGCGUGGGGAGCAAACAGGAUUAGAUACCCGAGUAGUCCCUGUCUCUUAUAC